GCACAAGCGGUGGAGCAUGUGGUUUAAUUCGAUGAUACGCGAGGAACCUUACCUAGGCUAGAAUGUGAGCGCCAGGCCGGGAAACCGGCUGUUCCCUCGGGACGCGAAACAAGGUGCUGCAUGGUUGUCGUCAGCUCGUGCCGUGAGGUGUUGGGUUAAGUCCCGCAACGAGCGCAACCCUUGUCCUUAGUUGCCAGCACAUAAAGGUGGGGACUCUAAGGAGACUGCCGGCGCAAGCCGCGAGGAAGGUGGGGACGACGUCAAAUCAUCAUGGCCUUUAUGCCUAGGGCUACACACGUGCUACAAUGGCGGGUACAGAGGGCAGCGAAGCCGCGAGGCGGAGCCAAUCCCAGAAAGCCCGUCCCAGUUCGGAUUGGAGUCUGCAACCCGGCUCCAUGAAGGUGGAAUCGCUAGUAAUCGCGCAUCAGCCAUGGCGCGGUGAAUACGUUCCCGGGC
Molecule: ribosomal RNA, 456 nt
Filed under: uncultured bacterium
Lineage: Bacteria
Description: bacterial SSU rRNA
Rfam family: Bacterial small subunit ribosomal RNA
Source: RNAcentral